GGGGGGACCACCCUCCAAGGCAAAACACAGAUAUCGACCGAUAGCGCAUAGUACCAUGAGGGAAAGGUGAAAAGCACCCCGGGAGGGGAAUGAAAUAGAACCUGAAACCGUAUGUUUACAAGCAGUCGAAGACCGCUUAAUAAUAAGGUCAACGGCGUGCCUAUUGAAGAAUGAACCGGCGAGUUAUGAGGUCCAGCAAGGUUAAGCAGGAAAUGCGGAGCCGAAGCGAAAGCGAGUCUUAAUAGGGCGACAAGUUGGAUUGCAUAGACCCGAAACCACAGUGAUCUACCCAUGUCCAGGCUGAAGCACAGGUAAAAAUGUGUGGAGGGCCGAACCUAUAUCCGUUGAAAAGGGUUAGGAUGAGGUGUGGGUAGGGGUGAAAUUCCAAUCGAACGUGGAGAUAGCUGGUUCUCCCCGAAAUAGCUUUAGGGCUAGCCUCGAGGUAGAGAUUGCAGGCGGUAGAGCACUGAUCAGGAGAGGGGCCUACCCGGCUACCAAACCCAGUCAAACUACGAAUGGCUGCAAUUAUACUCGGGAGUCAGACUACGACUUAUAAGGGCCGUGGUCAAAAGGGAAACAGCCCAGAUCAUCAGCUAAGGUCCCAAAUGCCGUGCUAAGUGGCGAAGGAUGUGGCGUUUCAUAAACAACCAGGAUGUUGGCUCAGAAGCAGCCACCAUUUAAAGAGUGCGUAAUAGCUCACUGGUCGAGAGACGCUGCGCCGAAAAUGUCCGGGGCUCAAGCACGGAACCGAAGCUAUGGCAUGAUAGCAAUAUCAUGGGUAGGGGAGCGUUCUUAACAGGAAGAAGCAUGACCGGAAGGACAUGUGGACCGUUAAGAAGUGAGAAUGCCGGUAUGAGUAUCGAAAAGAAAGGUGAGAAUCCUUUCCACCGAAAGCCCGAGGGUUCCUGAGCAACGAUCGUCGUCUCAGGGUAAGUCGGGACCUAAGCCGAGGCGGAGACGCAUAGGCGAUGGACAACAGGUUGAAAUUCCUGUACCGGAUACAAUCGUUUGAGCGAUGGAGCGACGCAGAAAGGCAUAUGAUCGCGCGACUGGAAGAGCGCGUCCAAGUGCGUAUGUUGAAUCGGAGGCAAAUCCCUGAUUCUGAAAGCAGAGACACGAUGGGGAGUUAUACGAAAGUAUGACGAACUCAUAGAUCCUACACUGCCAAGAAAAACUUCUAGUGAGAAAGUAUCCGCCCGUACCGUAAACCGACACAGGUAGGCGGGGAGAGAAUCCUAAGGUGCGCGGGAAAACCCUCGUUAAGGAACUCGGCAAAUUGCAUCCGUAACUUAGGGAGAAGGAUGACCUUAAGUAAGCGAAAGGGAGAAACCCCUGGAACAGAACAAGGUGGCAGAAAAGAGGCCCAAGCAACUGUUUACCAAAAACACAGGUGCCUGCGAAAGCGAAAGCUGAAGUAUAGGUGCUGACGCCUGCCCGGUGCUGGAAGGUUAAGGAGAGAUGUCAGAGCAAUCGAAGCAUUGAACUGAAGCCCCAGUGAACGGCGGCCGUAACUAUAACGGUCCUAAGGUAGCGAAAUUCCUUGUCGGGUAAGUUCCGACCCGCAUGAAAGGCGUAAUGAUUUGGGCACUGUCUCAACGAGGGGCCCGGUGAAAUUGAAAUACCUGUGAAGAUGCAGGUUACCCGCGACUGGACAGAAAGACCCCAUGGAGCUUCACUGCAGCUUGAGAUUGAAUCUCGGUGAUGCAUGCACAGGAUAGGUGGGAGACUUUGAAGUAUGGGCUUUGGCUUAUACUGAGUCGAUGUUGGGAUACCACCCUUGUAUUGCUGAGAUUCUAACACGGAGGCUAACAACCUCGUGGACCAUCUCAGGUAGGCGGUUUGACUGGGGCGGUCGCCUCCGAAAGAGUAACGGAGGCGCC
Molecule: ribosomal RNA, 1880 nt
Filed under: human gut metagenome
Description: bacterial LSU rRNA
Rfam family: Bacterial large subunit ribosomal RNA
Source: RNAcentral